GGCCGCCUGGCGCAACGGUAGCGCGUCAGAUUCCAGUCUCUUGGAACCUCCUGAAGGUUACCUGUUCGAAUCAGGUGGUGGUCA
Non-coding RNA from Didymosphaeria variabile, 84 nucleotides. Lineage: Eukaryota; Fungi; Ascomycota; Dothideomycetes; Pleosporales; Didymosphaeriaceae. The record is from the annotation of a RefSeq genome assembly.